RNAcentral lists this transfer RNA (73 nucleotides) under Bos taurus (domestic cattle). It matches the Rfam family "tRNA". Rfam says of the family: Transfer RNA (tRNA) molecules are approximately 80 nucleotides in length. Their secondary structure includes four short double-helical elements and three loops (D, anti-codon, and T loops). RNAcentral also lists the same sequence under 1 other name. The record is from Rfam by way of RNAcentral. Lineage: Eukaryota; Metazoa; Chordata; Mammalia; Artiodactyla; Bovidae.
UCCCUGGUGUUCCAGUGGUUAAGAUUGUCCACUUCCAAUGGAAGGGGUAUGGGUUCGAUCCCUGGUCAGGGAA